Molecule: ribosomal RNA, 453 nt
Filed under: uncultured bacterium
Lineage: Bacteria
Description: partial 16S ribosomal RNA
Rfam family: Bacterial small subunit ribosomal RNA
Source: RNAcentral
AUGAACGCUGACAGAAUGCUUGACACAUGCAAGUCAACUUGAACUUCGGUUUGGGUGGCGGACGGGUGAGUAACGCGUAAAGAACUUGCCUCACAGCUAGGGACAACAUUUGGAAACGAAUGCUAAUACCUGAUAUUAUGAUUAUAUGGCAUCGUAUAAUUAUGAAAGCUAUAUGCGCUGUGAGAGAGCUUUGCGUCCCAUUAGCUAGUUGGAGAGGUAACAGCUCACCAAGGCGAUGAUGGGUAGCCGGCCUGAGAGGGUGAUCGGCCACAAGGGGACUGAGACACGGCCCUUACUCCUACGGGAGGCAGCAGUGGGGAAUAUUGGACAAUGGACCGAGAGUCUGAUCCAGCAAUUCUGUGUGCACGAUGAAGUUUUUCGGAAUGUAAAGUGCUUUCAGUUGGGAAGAAAAAAAUGACGGUACCAACAGAAGAAGUGACGGCUAAAUACGUG